This is an RNA transcript of Rhopalosiphum padi (bird cherry-oat aphid), 2904 nucleotides long. It is a transcript of the gene named dual oxidase maturation factor 1, with no coding region annotated. The transcript has 9 exons. NCBI's taxonomy places the organism in Eukaryota, Metazoa, Arthropoda, Insecta, Hemiptera, Aphididae. The record is from RefSeq and is a predicted model, not a curated record.
AACACCUAACUAAAAUCGUAAAAAAAUAUAUAUCGUUCCUGAACAAUAUCCGCCGUCGCACGCACAUUGUUUCGCCGCGGUCUCGUCCGUUACCGCCGACGACGACGUCGUUUCGUUUAGUAAAAUAAUAAUAGUGUCUACUGCUCACCGACUCCACGCACUGCAGUUAUUGUUAUUACCAUCGUCGUUACCACGCAUAAUUUGUUGUCGUUACAUUAUUGUUGUGAUAAUAAAGUGAAUAAUAUAUAACAAUAUAGUGGCGCACGCGACCGACAAACCGCGUCCGGCAGUCGACGACGCUGCAUCAUCGACAUCAGUAUCCGUUCGGUUACCGGUCUGCAUGCACGCGCUCCCGACUCGGUGACUCGCCAAUUAUUAUUAUAUAACGUGUCCGUGGCGGUUAAAUUUUUAAGACAAAAAAAAAUUCGUUCGAUUUUUUUUCCACCGAUGUCUAGCAGGACGCGUUCGCUGUAAGCCGCCGUACACGGUCGCGUUCAUCCUACUAUAAUAACGUGCGUAAUAUAUGUGCGUGUUUUUCGAAUUCGAUUUCGACUCAUUGUAGUCUUGCCGUUUUUUUUUCUAAUGUGCAGUACCAUUCAUAAUAAUAUUAAUAUUAAACUGUACUGAUCUCCGGAACACGACAACCGUAUCCCACACAUAUUAUUAUAUAUAUUUUAUUAUAAAGAUAAUAUAAAAUCGUCUCAUACAUUUUCGGACGAAACAUUUCCACCCACCAACAGACUCAGAAUGAAGUGGCUCAGGAGUGACGGAGGACCAAUGUUUUACGGUUAUAGCAACCGUACACCGGUCACAGGUGAUGUACAAAUGAUUACGACCUGUCUGAUUUUCGGUACGAUUUUCACAGCGUUUCUUAUCAUCUUCCCCGGAGUUCGUAAAGAAAGGUUCACCACCUUCACAACUGUCACCUUGAGUCUGUUCGUCGGAAACGUCAUAUUGUUGUCGAUACUGGGUUCCAGUUGGCACGUGGCUGAAACAGUGAUCACGAGCGCUUACCGAGCUCUUUCCAAAGAACUGAUUACUGCGGAACUCGGUGCUUAUGUCGGACUUGGUCAUAUCAACAUAACCCUGUGCGCAAUACCAUCCGACAACUCUUCGAUGCCAUUGGAAGAUAUCAGCUUCAACGAACGUUUUUCUUGGUUGGGAGCUCACGAAAUGGGCGAAAGCUAUCAAGCUGCCUUGUACCGAGGCAUGCCUUUCCCUAUACUAACCGUCGCUGAAUACUUUAGUUUAGGCCAAGAAGGGUUUGCUUGGGGAGGUCAAUACAGAGCUGCGGGAUACUAUGGAAGCAUAUUUUUAUGGACAGCGUUUGUAUUGUGGUUUCUGAUGAACGUGCUGCUGAUCGUCGUUCCGCGGUACGGAGCGUACACAAUGAUAGGCAUGGGAAGUUUUAUGGUCGGAGCAACAGUCGCCUAUCACUGUAUGCUUCCGUCGUCACCUCUAGUCAUACGUUUUCAGGACGACAAGUUUUUACUGUUCAGGCUGGGCUGGUGUUUCUGGCUAACACUAUUUACUGGUCUGCUGUGCAUUUCCGUUGGGUUGAUAAUCGUGGCCAUCGACUGCGUGUACCCACAUAAAUUCUCCACCAUCCUCGAAGUGGACUUCGACACGCCAUAUGACCGGCACAUCAUCAUCGAGGACAGUAUACACCGAAAGAAACGUGUCGGUAACAAGAGUCUGGAAGAACCCGAGGGCCUCGGCCGCAGGAUAUUAAGGCGACUUUCGUCCAAGAAAGAUGACGACGUCAACAACCACAUGAAACUCGCUGGUACAGACAACCGUGGUUUUGAGUUAGACCCGGCCCCACCGAAUUCCCCGUGGAGGUUUCCAUACAACAGGCCCGCAGCCCAAGGGGUGAAGUUCAAUAGGACUAUAUCACAGGACUCUAUGACUAGCCAAACGUCCAACUUGGCAGUCGCUUUCAACAACCGUGACAAGAGCAGGCUGUCUAUAUUAAAAACGUCUUUGCCACCCAUAAGGUGAUCAUAUAUGUUAAUAUAAAAUAAUACCCAAAGGUAGAGGAAAGUUGAUGGCUUAAUUCAACAUGAACCAUCGCCGGGACAAGCAAUAGUGGUUGAUAGAGCCAAAGAAGUAUCCAUGUGGUGAAACUUCAUAAAAUAAUAUAAUUUUAAAUGUGCCAAGCAAAACGAUUUGUGAAAAUUUUUUUGAAGUCUGAUCGUAUAGACAUAUAGAUAUAUACAUAUUAUGUAUCAUAUUAUAUAUAUUACAAAAUGACAGUCAUAUAAAAUUAUAAUUAGUUUCUAUCAUAUUUAUAUGUUGGAUUUUAUUAAGUGAAACCUAAUAAAACGAAAAGCUUAAAAUUCUAGAUGUCAAACUUUGAUUAACUUAAUUUACAAUCAAGAGUCCAUUAUUAUUUAUACUACAAUGAUCAAAAAUAUGUAAAAAUAGGGUUAAGAGUAUAUCAAGGAGAUGUGAAUAUAAUUAUUGUAAUGUUACCUAUAUUUAUUUAUUAAUUAAUAUUAUUAUAAAUUAAAUGUUUAUAAAUAUUUAAUUAAGCUAAUUUUUAAAUCAAAAACUUUUUUAUUGUAUAAAUUAUUAUUUUUUGACAAAUAUAUGUAUUUUUAUUUAUUUUAUAUUUGGUUAUAAACAUAUUGUAAUUAUUCCCUUUUGCAUAUUAUUUAACAAAUUUGCUGAAAAAUAAAAAUCAAAUUGUGCGAGAAACAGCAGUGGCUGCUUUGAGGAGGACAAGGUACAUACUCCUUCUCCAGGCCUGUAGUUUUCUAAAAAAAAUGUACUAAUUAGAGAAAAAAUGUUUACAAUAAACAUUAUAAAUAUUAAAUUGUAUAAUGUUAGAUAAUAGUUUGUAUUUAUUAUUUAUUAAUAUGUACCGAAAUAAACGAGGCGAUAUGUUUAAAAUUCUAUAAA